UUUUUCUUUUUUUCUUUCUUUCUUUUUUUUUUUUUUGAGAAGGAGUUUUGCUCUUGUCACCCAAGCUAGAAUGCAAUGGCGCAAACUUGGCUCACUGCAACCUCCACCUCCUGAGUUCAAGUGAUUCUCCUGCCCCAGCCUCCCGAGUAGCUGGGAUUACAGGCGCCUGCCACCAUGCCCAGCUAAUUUUUGUAUUUUUAGUAGAGACAGAAUUUUGCCAUGUUAGCCAGGCUGGUCUCGAAUUCCUGACCUCAGGUGAUCUGUCUGCCUCGGCCUCUCAAAGUGCUGGGAUUACAGGCGUGAGCCACUGCUCCUGGCCUGGAUAUUUCUAUUAUUCCCUGAAUGUUUUGGUGAGCUUGAAAUAUUUUACAUUUAAAACAGAGGGGAAAUUUACUAUUGUUAUUGUUUAAAAACAUAUGGCAGUAGGCAUUUUCCAAAAUGAUGCAUAACAAUAUAAUGAAUUUGAUUGGAUGUUGGAUUUUUAGUCACCUUGAAGGCAAGUUCCUUGGCUUAGUUUUAUUUCCCUAGAGUAUCUCAAAGCAACAGGUGCUUUUCUUUAAAAUCCAAUAAAGAUCAUUCUUUUCCCUUCACGUGUCAUUAAUAAAAAGCUUUUAUUUGCUUAUUAAAAAAUAGUUCCAGAUUAAUGAUUGAUAUUACCUCAGAAUAUUGAAUGAAAUGAAACAAUGAAACAAUAAAAUCUCUCUAAAUAAUUAGUUUCCUGAUCUGUAAUUUUAACCAACUACCUAAAAUGAUUUUAGCUUUCAUUAUUGGGUAAGUGCUUCCAGUGGGUUACAAAUAGCUGUUGCUUUUAGAUCAGAUACAUUUUUCUUUUGCUGAGUAUGGCUAUGUCUAUAAUUUUUAGAUUGAUUAAAUUAUUACAGUAGAGAACCUCUGUUUUUACUUCUAUGCUACUAUUUUAAUUCUCAGCCAAGACAGAAAAGUGAACAUAUGCAAAAUCAGAUUUCAACCCAAUAAAAGUGUUUAUACAAUGGAAGCCUAUAAAUUUGAAAAUAAAAUUUAUUUAAGAGUGUGGUAGCCAGCCUUCAGGAUGGCUCUAAUGAUCCUCAUCUCCAACUUUCAACUUUCAACUUUCAACACGGCUGUAAUGAUCCUCAUCUCCAACUUUCCUUGUAGUCCCCUUCCACACUGAACCAGGUUUAGUCUGCAAGUGACCAUACAAGUGAUGGCGUGGGUCUUCUAAGGCUAGGUCAUGAAAGGCAGCACAGUGCCUCUUCUACUCUGCUCCCUUGGAUCAGCCACUCUGGGAGAAUCCAGAAGCCAUGUCAUCUGGAUAUUCAAGGAGCUGUCUAGAGAGUUCCACAUGAAAAGUACUGAGACUUCUUGGAAAAACAGCCAUAAACAGCAAACUAAUAACACGAGUGAGUCAUCUCGGAAGCUGAUUUGCAGCCACAGUAAAAUCUUAAGAUGACUGUGGUCCUGGCGAGAUCUCAUGAGAAAUCCAGAGCCAUAACUGCCCAGCUAAGCCACUCCUGAUUUCCUGAUUACCAGAAACCAUAAGAUAAUAAAUUGUUAUUUUAAGCCACUAAAUUUUGGGGUAAUUUGUUACACAGCAUAGAUAACUAGUACAAAGAGAUGUUUGCUAAAUUUACAAAAUUCAAAUACAAGGCAAAUAACUAUGCUCAGACUGAGGACACUGUAAAGAGUUCUUUAGAUAACCAUAAAGCUCACAGCGCAGAUAUUUUCCCAGUAAGUAGUAUAGUUGUCAAGAACUGAGUAGAAAAUGUGUUGGACAUAGAUUUGGCAUGGAAAUUAUUGUUUUUUACUGUAUGAUGACUUGAAGAUGGGUACCAUACCAUACAUAUGUUCAACUGUGACAGCUAAAGUUAUUUCUCCAUUAGAGACUUUUGCAACAGGUUCCACCUAUAUACACUAAGCAUAUAAUUCUAUUCACAAAAAAACCAAUAUACCCAUUUUUAGAAAAAAAAAUUUAGUAAAAAUAUCAUUCUUAUUAUUUUUGAAAGUUUUGCUUCACAGUAAAUGAUGCAUGGGUUUUGUGACAUUGCCGAGUGCCUCUCCAUAUGGGGAGCUGAGCCUGCACACAGGCGGUAAUGCAUGCAUCACCACAUACUCACUAAUGAAGCAAGGUAAAGAAAUAGAAAAGCUUUUCAUUCCCUCAAUAUGCAGCUGGUGUGUGAUGCCAGAUGUAAAAUCAUUGAUGUUCUUGCCAAGUUCUCAGGAUCAUGUCAUGAUUUAUUUAAACUAAGACAAUCAAGAAUAGGUUGAUUUUUGUAAAAAAUAGUCAAAUACAAGGAGGCCGAUGAGUAGGUGGAUAGGAACAUAUCUUCUCUAAAAUAUUGACUGUGUAUUAAAUAUAAGAUUAUUUGUAUCCUUCAUUCUUUCUUUGUAUUAUAUUGUGGUUUUCCUCUGAAGAGAGUAAAUGGCUCUACUUU
This 2411-nucleotide long non-coding RNA is filed under the name Homo sapiens (human). RNAcentral describes it as "non-protein coding lnc-ADGRV1-11:1". Lineage: Eukaryota; Metazoa; Chordata; Mammalia; Primates; Hominidae. The record is from RNAcentral.